GUGAGGAAUUUUCCGCAAUGGGCGAAAGCCUGACGGAGCAAUGCCGCGUGAAGGAUGAAGGCCUAUGGGUUGUAAACUUCUUUUCUCAGAAAAGAAUUAUGACGGUAUCUGAGGAAUAAGCAUCGGCUAACUCUGUGCCAGCAGCCGCGGUAAGACAGAGGAUGCAAGCGUUAUCCGGAAUGAUUGGGCGUAAAGCGUCUGUAGGUUGUUUAAAAAGUAUUCUGUCAAAGAUCAGGGCUUAACCCUAGAUAGGCAGAAUAAACUUUUAAGCUAGAGUUUGGUAGAGGCAGAGGGAAUUCCCGGUGGAGCGGUGAAAUGCGUAGAUAUCGGGAGGAACACCAAAGGCGAAGGCACUCUGCUGGGCCAAUACUAACACUGAGAGACGAAAGCGAGGGGAGCAAAUGGGAUUAGAAACCCGGGUAGUCC
Molecule: ribosomal RNA, 426 nt
Filed under: uncultured bacterium
Lineage: Bacteria
Description: partial 16S ribosomal RNA
Rfam family: Bacterial small subunit ribosomal RNA
Source: RNAcentral